AGGUAUCUCUAGGUAAUGUUAAUACAUUAUUAAAUGCUGAUUAUACUGCUGAUAAACUACCUAAAGGUAAACAUAGUGUAUUAGGUGCUGGUAGAGUGGCUCCUGAUCCUAAAUCUAAAGUUGUCACGAGUGAUGGUGUAACAGUUCCUAUUGGUAAAGGUCAGGAUACCAAGAUUGUGAAUCCUAGUGGUUAUACUCUAAAUUAUAAUGAAUACAUAGUGUACGAUACCAAACAAAUCAAAAUGAAAUACCUGUUAAAAGUUAAAUUCAAUUACAGAUAAGAUAUGGAUAUAAUAGCUGUCCUAUAUGCACUGGGCUUUUAUUCACAGGAUUAAGAAAAGGGUGUGAAAUUCUGCAUAAGCUUAAAACUAGUGAUAGUCCGAUAAUCUGUUUGAACAUCGGUAAUUGGCAGAUAAGUGGCCUUUCGGGAAAAAUCGGUAUUGACUGAUACACAACCAUUUUGCCGAUACUUGAGUUGCCGAUAUCUGUUCAAAACGACUCAAUAAUUACCUUUAAAAUAUUAUCCGAGUUGUGAACAAAUCAUUAUUUUGCUUGACACACGGUGAAUCUAAAUAGCCACGCACACGUGCACAUUGCUAUUUAGAGGUACCGGUAAUACAAGACGUAAAAAGAAAAGAAUAAACAGUAGAAAAUCAUAAGCAGUCUCCGUUAUAGCCACGUAAAUCCUUAUUCACACACUGUUUGAGAGUUUGAUUCUCUAAAUCAGAUUUUUGAGAAUGUCAUUUCUGCGCAUGUGCAGACAGACAUUAACGUACAACAGUCCACCUGAUAAACCUUUUUAUUGGAAUAGGGAAUAAGCCAAUUGCAUGAUGAUCAAAAUCAUAGAAUUGGACAACACAGUCAGUACAUCACGGAAACCCCUCUUCGAUCUGUUUUAAAAGUGUGCUGAUCACAAACUAGAACAAUACUUAAUUAGGCUAUUGAUUUUUUUAUUGUCCCCCGCCUUUCGAAGAAAGCAGGGGACUAUUAAAAUGGGUUCGUCCGUCUGUCUGUCCGUCUGUCUGUCCGUCCGUCUGUCUGUCCGUCUGUCUGUCCGUCUGUCCGUCCGUCUGUCUGUCCGUCACACUUUUUGGGACACAAUAACUCUCUUCCUAAUUGAGCUAGAAUGUUCAAACUUGGUGUAUGUGUUUAUUAGGUCAAUGCCUUGAUGGAGUUCGAAGAUGAGCAUUUUCCGCUUAGGGUAAGCAGAGAUAAGCAAUUUGAUUGGUUGAUGCUUUGGGACACGAUAACUCUCUUCCUAAUUGGGCUAGAAUGUUCAAACUUGGUGUAUGUGUUGAUUAGGUCAAUGCCUUGAUGGAGUUCGAAGAUGAGCAUUUUCCGCUUAGGGUAAGCAGAGAUAAGCAAUUUGAUUGGUUGAUGCUUUGGGACACGAUAACUUUUAAUUGAGCUAGAAUGUUCAAACUUGGUGUAUGUGUUUAUUAGGUCAAUGCCUUGAUGGAGUUCGAAGAUGAGCAUUUUCCGCUUAGGGUAAGCAGAGAUAAGCAAUUUGAUUGGUUGAUGCUUUGGGACACGAUAACUCUCUUCCUAAUUGGGCUAGAAUGUUCAAACUUGGUGUAUGUGUUGAUUAGGUCAAUGCCUUGAUGGAGUUCGAAGAUGAGCAUUUUCCGCUUAGGGUAAGCAGAGAUAAGCAAUUUGAUUGGUUGAUGCUUUGGGACACGAUAACUUUUAAUUGAGCUAGAAUGUUCAAACUUGGUGUAUGUGUUUAUUAGGUCAAUGCCUUGAUGGAGUUCGAAGAUGAGCAUUUUCCGCUUAGGGUAAGCAGAGAUAAGCAAUUUGAUUGGUUGAUACUUUGGGGCACGAUAACUCUCUUCCUAAUUGAGCUAGAAUGUUCAAACUUGGUGUAUGUGUUGAUUAGGUCAAUGCCUUGAUGGAGUUCGAAGAUGAGCAUUUUCCGCUUAGGGUAAGCAGAGAUAAGCAAUUUGAUUGGUUGAUGCUUUGGGACACGAUAACUUUAGUUGUCCCCCGCCUUUUGAAGAAAGCAGGGGACUAUUAAAAUGGGUUCGUCCGUCUGUCUGUCUGUCCGCCUGCCUGUCCGUCCGUCUGUCUGUCCGUCACACUUUUUGGGACACAAUAACUCUCCUUCUAAUUGACCUAGAAUGUUCAAACUUGGUGUGGGUGUAUAUUAGGUCAAUGCUUUGAUGGAGUUCGAAGAUGAGCAUUUUCUGCUUAGUGUAAGCAGAGAUAAGCAAUUUGAUUGGUUGAUGCUUUGGGACACGAUAACUUUAGUUCUAAUUAAGUGAGAGUGAUGAAACUUGGUGUAUAGUUUUAUUACAUCAGUACCUUGACUAAGUUCGAUGAUGAGCAUUUUCUGCUCAGGGUAAGCAGAGCGAUAAGCAAUUUGAUUGGCCGAGACUUCGGAACACAAUAACUCUCCUUCUAAUUGAGCUAAAAUGUUCACACUGCUUCUAAUUGAGGUAGAAUGUUUAAACUUGAUGUAGAUGUUCGUCUUGACUGAGUUCAAUGAUUAACAUAUCGAUCUCAAGCUAAGCAGAGAUAAGCAAUUUCCUUGGUCGAUGCUUUGGGACAAUAUAACUUUGAUUCUGUCUGAUAGAGAGUGAUGAAAUUUAGUGUAUAGUUGAUAAACAGUUUGAUUGCUCGAUACUUUUGAAAAAAAUAAACAGUUUGAUUGCUCGAUACUUUUGAAAAAAAUAGAUGUGCGAUUAAUUAAUAUGUGGCAUCUAUUUAUUUGCGGAUUUCGGCGGGGGACAUCAGCCUCACUGUUGGCUUGUUUAAAUUGUUUCUGAUAAUUUAUUAACUAUAUGAAAUAAACAAUGGUCCUCACAAUAGUUAUUUGUCUAUCACGAUAAUAAAACCAAAGAAGUUGUCAACAAUGGCCCUUCAUUGCAUAUCUGGCUGGUAUGAAGCGUCUUGUGCUGUUAUGUCGCUUAUCGUAAAAUAGUUCCAAAUCUUACUACUUCUGGCAUGCAUUUUUUUCCCUGCGUUUUAUCUAGUUCCCUGCUGGUAUUGUUUGGACACUUUCAUAAUUGGUAGAAGUUUUGGAAAAGGCGGGGAAAAUAUUACAUGGUUUACGCGUGAUUGGAAUGAAAGAUAAAAGGGGGUAUAUCCCUUUGAUGUCACGUGAUUACUGUCAGACAUUCCGACUUCUAGAGUAGAUGUCGAUAAAAAUUUAGAAAUAAUUUAGUGAUUUAUAUUGUUAUGCUAGGCUACUUUAAAAAUUUAGACAUAAUUUGUAUCAAUAAAUAAUAACUUAUAAUAUAGAUCAUACUACCAACAAAUGAGUUUCUAUUAGAUGGUUUUAUAUUUAACUAUAGUUCUAGAAAUGGCGGGAGAAUGUCACGUGAUUGCCACUGUUGACAGCAUUAUGAUACAGCAUUAAUGAUACAGCAAAUAAUCCAGUUUGUAAUAGAUUUGUGAUUGCUUAGGAAGCGUGACCCAAUUUUAUUACUUCAAAAACACAGCGUUCGUGUUUGAUUCCCGAGGUAAAAUAGUACCAUGCGUUUCUCGACUAAUAAUGACGUACGUAUAUCUACAUAGAUUAUCUUGCCAUUCAAGGCAUUUUAAUGUGUAAUAGUUUUAUAUCCACCACUAUCGGUAAUUGUAUCUGUAUCAGCCGAUAUAUUUUGCAGUCAAUAUCUGAUAUCUGUAAAACCGAUCGGUGCCAUAUCGGACCAUCACUACUUAAAACGUUCCAAUUUGAACAUCCUUAAUGUAAUUGCAGUCAAAUCAAAUUACAUGGAAAUUAUUUUGUUCCUAGUUAUCUGAAUAGAAGCUCAGAAUUCACCACUUACACAGUAGUUCAUUUUAUUCCUGCAAUCAUGUAUAUCAUCUUAAUGGUAAUUGUACUGUAGGAUUUAGUAUAUUAUGCAUAUUUAUCUAGACAAUCAUUGUCAUAAUUGUUAUUCCACUUUAUAAAAACAAUCAUAAAACAUUGUAAUGUCUCAAGUAGGUUAAAAUAUGUCGUUCUUAUACUAUGCUGAAAAAUUAUAUAACAUGUAUGUUUUCAAUUAUCUGCUUGGAAUGGUGGCAUUUUGUAAUUAAGUCCUACCAAAGAUUUAACAGUCAUUCCUUCAUCCUUUGUAAUUACAUCCAUUUGCACCAUUACCAAUUCGUAUGUGACCUUUUUACUUUUAUUUUAGUACAUAGUUGUUAGUGAAUUUUUUGUUAAAUUAUGUUGAAAUUGUA
This is an RNA transcript of Patella vulgata (common limpet), 4164 nucleotides long. RefSeq lists it as uncharacterized. The record is from RefSeq and is a predicted model, not a curated record. Lineage: Eukaryota; Metazoa; Mollusca; Gastropoda; Patellidae. The transcript has 2 exons.